CCUACGGGAGGCAGCAGUAGGGAAUUUUCGGCAAUGGGGGGAACCCUGACCGAGCAACGCCGCGUGAACGAAGAAGUUAUUCGUAAUGUAAAGUUCUUUUAACAGGGAAGAAAGAGAAAUUUGACGGUACCUGAAGAAUAAGCCCCGGCUAACUACGUGCCAGCAGCCGCGGUAAUACGUAGGGGGCAAGCGUUAUCCGGAUUUACUGGGUGUAAAGGGAGCGUAGACGGCAGCACAAGUCUGGAGUGAAAUCCCGGGGCUUAACCCCGGAACUGCUUUGGAAACUGUGCGGCUGGAGGGCAGGAGGGGUAAGGGGAAUUCCUAGUGUGGCGGUGAAAUGCGUAGAUAGAAGGAGGAACACCGGUGGCGAAGGCGGCUUCCUGGACUGUAACGGACUUUGAGGCUCGAAAGCGUGGGGAGAAAACAGGAUUAGAUACCCUUGUAGUC
This 447-nucleotide ribosomal RNA is filed under the name uncultured bacterium. RNAcentral's name for it is "partial 16S ribosomal RNA". It matches the Rfam family "Bacterial small subunit ribosomal RNA", at positions 338 to 795 of the family's 1533-position model. The record is from RNAcentral.